UGGAAGCAUAGUGAUAUGUGAAGCUGACCAAUACUAAUUGCUCGUGAGGCUUGACUAUACAACACCCAAGCAGUUG
RNAcentral lists this ribosomal RNA (76 nucleotides) under Acinetobacter baumannii. RNAcentral describes it as "partial 23S ribosomal RNA". The record is from RNAcentral. Lineage: Bacteria; Pseudomonadati; Pseudomonadota; Gammaproteobacteria; Moraxellales; Moraxellaceae.